GAGAUGGUAGCAUCUCACGCCAAUCGGAAGCUCUUGCUAACAUACCUUCGCCUUUCUCCAGCUUCACCACUCUUAAGUCAAACUUUAGUAGCAAAGGCCUUACUGUUCACGACCUUGUGGUUUUGUCAGGUAUGCAUUGUGAACUAAGUUGAUCUAAUGCCAUAGUUUUCUGUUUGUCAUAAUCCUUUUUCAUUUUAUGUUUUGUUCGUGAUGUAUAUGUACUAAAUUCGCACCGGCUUGUUAUAUGCAGGCGCACAUACCAUAGGUGUGGGACAUUGUAAUUUUUUUAGCAACAGACUCUACAAUUUUACUGGAAAAGGAGACUCGGAUCCUUCCUUAAACUCAAAAUAUGCAACUUUCUUAAAAACAAAAUGCCGAAGUCUUUUAGACAACACCACCACAGUAGCAAUGGACCCUGAAAGUUCAUUAUCAUUUGAUACUAGUUAUUUUGUCAACUUGAAAGAACAAAAGGGUAUGUUUCAAUCCGAUGCUGCCCUUUUAACAAACAAGGGAGCAUCCAACAUUGUUGAUGAAAUGCUCAUCUCUGGAAAGUUCUUUACUGAAUUUGCACAAUCCAUGAAGAGGAUGGGUGCCAUUGGAGUCCUUACUGGAAAUUCUGGAGAGAUUAGGAGAAAAUGUGGUGUUGUUAACUCUUAAUCUAUGCUUUGAAUAUUUUCAUUCAUGUUGUUGUGUGAAAUAGUUAAUGUGCAUGGUUUCGAGUUUCGAGUUGUUAUGUAUAAGUUUUUUAACUUUCUCGUUUUUUUUUUUUUUUUUUUUUUGUGAAUGGGAACGUGUGCAUCUGUAAGUGUGGUUUUUGGAUGUAAGGUGGCAAUCAUCAUAAUAAAAAUCCUAUUUAUCUUGAAUAUCAGUUCAUUGACUUCCUUGGAUUAUAUGGGACAUUGCAAGAGAGUUGCUGAUUUGUAACUAGAUUGUCGAGACAUGACAAUAAGCAAAUCAUUGAGACAAAUUAACUUCAGGUUAAGCGAUGAAGAAUAUGGUUUAUUUUUAUUUCAUUAAAUUAUAAUGGUAUCGACAAAUAUAUAUUGGAAUUAUAAUGGGGUUUGGUCUAUUCAGAUUGUUUUGAAUUUUGAAAAAGUUUGGAUCCUAUAAGCCCCAUUAGACUAAUUGAAGAAGUUGGGAACUGAAUUCCUAAUAGUGAAGUACACCAUUCUCUGCUAUGCCCUCCUGACCAUAACACACUCAAAAGAUUAUCAAAAGAUAAUUAACUCUCUAUAUACACAACAGCAAUCAGAAUGCUACUUCACUAGUAAUCAAAUUAUCAGACUUUGUAAUCUUGAGCUACUAGCUUAAACAGAAAGAAUCUCAAUUGCAUCAAAUUCAGUUCUUAAAACAGUGAAUUCUUGGAAUGUGAGCGACAACUGAACUGCUAAGACCAAUGUUAAAACAACAAAUACCUGGACUUUUUGCAAAUCAAAGAGACCCCUUUUCCAAUUUCUUGCAUAUUAAGAGCACCCACGAGAAUUGAAAUAAAGAAGGUCAAAUAACCUAUUAUAGACCUAAAACAACACUAAAACCUUUGAAUUUUGGAAAUCAAAGUGAUAUUUACACUAAAGUUUGAAUCUUUAACAGUAUGCAUGAGCUUGGUAUUAAAUGAGCAAACUUUUGAAUUUUUAUCCUACACUAGCCCUAAAGCUUAAAAACCAUGAAAAUCUUACAAUUUUGCAAAUCAAAGAGAUACCCAAAUUAAGAAAAAAAUUUAAAUUGAAGAAAACCCAUUUGAAGUAUGAGUUCGAAUUUCAACCUGGCACUAGGAACUCGGCAUGAAACUUCAACUUCAAACUCAACUGGAAGACCUAAGAAGCCAUUAUAACGAUCAAAUGUAACAUGAGUAAUAUGUUGAACAUUAGUUGGCCAACCAAUUUCCAUUUGAUGAACAGCUGAAAUUACUUCAUCUUGUUCUUCAACACGACAAGCAACCAUAGAUUUUCUUAUAGCAGCUACAAGAAGAGCUACAAGAGAGAGUUGGUUUUGUUCAGCUGUUGCUGUUGUUUCUCCUCCUUUUGUUCCUUUUCCUCCUCCUCCUCCUCCACACCCACCACCCUUUGUUAACAUCAACACUCCUGUCAUCUCUCUCUCUCUCUCUCAAGAAGAUUGAAGAAGAAGAAGGUGGUUUGAAUCCAAGCUACAAGUGUUUUAAUGUUUGUUGGGGUUUGAAGUAGUUUUUGAAGUUCGAUGUCUCUGAAGUUCAAACGGCCACAUAAAUUCAAAUCUAGAAAAAGCUUUACUUUAUCACUUCAGUAAAUUUAUUACCCUUAAAUGAUUUCAUUAUUUACUCAUUGUACCACUCCACGUUUUGUCACCAUUGUGUCCUGGUCGUGCACUCGUGCUCGUGCCAUAUCAAUUGUACAGUACUACAGUACAAUUUGGUUGUCACUAUGUUGAAUAAGAGUUUGAGUGUCUAUCUUUUCCUAAUUUAAUAUAAACUUGAUUGAUUAUAAAGAUAUGGGUGAAGAAAUUUGAAACUGGUUGGCAAAGAUUUGAUUCUAACUUAUUCGUGACUUUGAUGUAUGAAAUCAGCUUGAUUUUUAAACAUGGCCCUCAUGUUCUACUUUUUUGAUAUUUCAUGAAUUUUUUAUUUUUUGAGUAAGAUUUCAUUUGUAGGAAUCAUGUCUAUAAUCAGUUGGGUCAAAUCAAACUUGGUUUUCUGUAUUUUGGUAAGGCCAAGUUAAUUUCCUUUCAAACCUUUUAGGUAAAAAAUGCCAUUACUUAACUUUUAAGUUUCAUCAUGCAUUGUCAUUAAAACCUAGUUGCUCAAUUACUUCAUUAACAUUCAUAACAUAUUGAUUAGAUUGUCAUUAAAUCAAACUUUAAUCUAUACCUUUUUGGAGUGAUCAAGCCUAAUCUAAACUCCAAUAACAAUCAGUUUUGAACCAUGAAAUACAUGUCAAUAGGUCAUCUGAGAAAAAAAAAAAAAAUACAAUACAUGCGGUCAAAUGAGGAAGAUUCAAGAACACAUGUUGAUACACACAAACUGCUUUGCAAGGCUGAAUAAGGAAAUGUCCUAUUCUUAUUGCUGUUUAAGCCCCUGAAUUUAAACCGUAAGAACAAUAUUCUCUCUGAUUGGGGUAGGUAGGUAGGUAAGUGACCGUUGGUACUUUGUCCACAACAAUGGCAACAUAGCAAAUGUCAUUAAACAUAGGGUCCUUUUUGGGGUUCUUGGUGUCAAAGAAUUCUUUUAGGCCUUCAAAAAACAUAUAUCUAGGAAAAAGGGUAGGUGAUAUCUUCGAUGAUAUCUUGAGAAUUUAUAGCAUGGUUUCAUGAUUCAUGCGUAGACAUUGGUCCAAAUCCGUGAAGACUAUUCGUCUAAAAAGCCAGGCGUUCUUUGGUACGACCAUAAUACCCUCAUGGUAUCUAAUAAUUACUUUAGCACAUGUUGUAUCCAAGAAAUUAAACCUAUUCUUUUUGUCAUUAGAAGCAAGGAUAAAUAGUGGCAGGCACACCUUUGUGAACUUCAGAUUGUAAAGUGGACUAUGGUCUGUGGACCCCAUUACUUAUCUCCUAUGGGUCAUGUCCGUUGGUCUCUUUGAUUCUCCCUCCAAAACUCUCAGUGUUUUGAAUUUCAAAUGGAACUCAUCUUCUAAUCAUCCUUUUUCUUCUAGGGUUUGUUUGAUUCUGGCUGGGGAAUCGAUUUCCCGGUAAAAUGGUGGAUAGGUUUAGUAAUAACGAAAUUAGAAAGAAAAAACCGAGAAAAAGCCGAGAGUAACAGAGAAAAAAAAAAAAAUCUGUUCCUGAUUUCUUUAUAAUUUUAACGAAUUUACAGUUCUGUCCUCAAAAUUAUUUCCCCUAAACAAUCCCUCUCGAAUCAAAUAGACCCCUAGAUUUUCUUCCUCCAUCUUCAUGUCGCCAUGUACCAAAACAUAUUUUGGAUCACUACAGUCAUUGGCUCCAAUUAACAAUUACUUGGGGUCGGGUUGAGUGGACAUACCUCAAAAAUGCUGAAUUGUGUGUUUACAGGUUUACUAAAUCAGCAUAUAUACUGUAUAACUAUGUCAAGAUUGCACAUAAUCUGUGCAGUCUGUGAGUCUGUCACAUAAAUCAUACCCAAGAAUAGAUCAUCCAACCUGUGGAAUCUGUUUGAUGUAUGUGGGCUUACUCUGAUACAUUUUCAGCCACCCUGGUGGCAUGUCCCAAAUAACCGAGCCCAAUGAAAUUGAAAUUCGUUAAUAGAUCCCCAUCUAUAGCCCCAGAUCAAGGUCUACUAUGUCUCAAAUGAAAGAAGGAGCAAUGCGUUAAAGAAGCCUGUACACAAAACUAUUAAAGUCACAAUCACAUCCUAGUAUAGCGGGUAAACUGAUCCAUAAAAUAUUACAGGCCAGCUCCCAACAAAGACUAGCUUCCAGUUAUAAACUGAUCAAAAACAUAAUAUAAGAGCGUUACUCAGAACUCAGAACUCAGAAGUACUCUCACCUGUAGUAGGCUAUUUGAUCAGCAAUUACUCAGAACUCAGAACUCAGAAGUACUCUCACCUGUAGUAGGCUAUUUGAUCAGCAAAAGGUCAAUUAUAUUAAGAACUAAAAGAUGAGAGACUUGUCACUCAAUAAAUUGAACGACCAUAUACUGUAUUAACAGUAAGUUUGGGGUUAUAAGAUAAUUGCUAGAACUUGUAGGCUUGUACUGUAUUUGGUAUACCAGCUUUGAAAAAGUUUGUUAGUGUACAAAAUAAACAAAGCUAUCCACAUAACAGAACUCAAUAAUUAAUCAAUAGCAACUCCCAUGCAAACUACGUCAAAGGAGAUUUCUUUAAAUUUAUACAAGUAUAGUUAGUAAGAUUAGAUACCCAAACAGGACAACUAACCUAAGUGUAUAACAAGACCAUUUGACAUUUGACUUCUGCUUCUUUUUAUUGAUUUAUUAUUUUCCUAUUUAUAUAUUUAGACAAAAAAAUCUGUUUUUAAAUAGGAAAUAAGGUAUAUACCAUGUUCCUGGUAUUAGUAGUGAGGUGUAACUCAGGUGUUCGAUCAACGAAAGCUAUAUGUAAACUGUUUAUAGUGCUUAACAUUGUAAAUUAAAUUAGCUGAUUUUCAAUUAUCUUAAUCAAUUUUUUUUUUUUUCUAUUUUGACAUUUAUAUUGUGUUAGGCGUGAUAGGGUUGGGCAAACCAUACCAACCAUUUUUAUUAUUGUUAUCUUAAAAAAUAAGGGACAACAUUGGUGAGUAAAGAUCUUUGUAUGUUUAAUUGUACUAUUAUAAUAGUACUACUAAUUAGUCAGUAGUACCAACAACUAACUAUCAAUCUCACCGAACAGGUACAAUUCAAGGGCUGGAAAAAUAUUCUAUCUAAAACAGGCUCCUAAUUGUAGACAUGAAGAAAUUUACAUAUAGAAAUAUUAGUCAACACUUGAAAACACACUAUGAUCUAAAUGUGGUUUUAAUUAAAUGUUGCGUCCAUUAUUUAUGAUAAUGUCGCAAUUAAUUCAAGUGGACAACUACCAUUAGAACUCUAUAUAUAGGGAAGAAGGAUCAAUGCUACUACUCAUUGUAAGUAAGAAAGAAACUGUCAAAGAUAUCCCAAUCUGUUUCGAAGAGUGAAAGAGAUAUUCAAAAUGAGAACUAGCUUCUUUGAUUUUCUGUUGGUGUGCUUAGUACUUUUUGGGGUUGCAGGUAUUUGCCAUGCAGGCGAAUUAAGGAAGAAUUUCUACGAGGACAGUUGCCCUCAAGCUGAGGAGGUUAUCAAGAACAUCAUCUGGAAACAUGUAGCUAGCAAUUCAGCAUUGCCUGCAAAGUUUCUAAGGAUGCAUUUUCAUGACUGCUUUGUUAGGGUAACAAAUCUCAAUUUAAUGCAUAUCGUUACAGUAGCUUGCUUCUGUGCAUCUUUUAAUAUUUUGACAACGUGUUCAUUAUUACGCAAGUGGUUUUAUAUUUAUCCGCAUGGACAGACGCCAGACUCUUCUUCUGUAAAGUACCAAUUCAGUUCAUAACAAGCCAAUAUUCUUUCAGGGUUGUGAUGCUUCAUUGUUACUAAACUCUACUGCAAAUAAUAAAGCUGAAAAGGAAGCAGUACCAAACCUAUCGGUUUCAGGUUUUGAUGUUAUUGACGAGGUGAAGGCUCACCUAGAGAAGACUUGCCCUGGAACUGUUUCCUGUGCAGAUAUUGUUGCUUUGGCUGCUAGGGAUUCUGUUUCCUUCCAAGUAAGUUUUAGUUACUAGUGAUAAACAGAGACAUGUCAUAAGUCAUAACUCAUAUGGUUCAACUUGGUUAGCUUGACUUUGCUCAUCGUGGUUGCAGUUCCAAAAAUCAAUCUGGGAAGUAUUAACAGGCAGAAGAGAUGGUAGCAUCUCACGCCAAUCGGAAGCUCUUGCUAACAUACCUUCGCCUUUCUCCAGCUUCACCACUCUUAAGUCAAACUUUAGUAGCAAAGGCCUUACUGUUCACGACCUUGUGGUUUUGUCAGGUAUGCAUUGUGAACUAAGUUGAUCUAAUGCCAUAGUUUUCUGUUUGUCAUAAUCCUUUUUCAUUUUAUGUUUUGUUCGUGAUGUAUAUGUACUAAAUUCGCACUGGCUUGUUAUAUGCAGGCGCACAUACCAUAGGUGUGGGACAUUGUAAUUUUUUUAGCAACAGACUCUACAAUUUUACUGGAAAAGGAGACUCGGAUCCUUCCUUAAACUCAAAAUAUGCAACUUUCUUAAAAACAAAAUGCCGAAGUCUUUUAGACAACACCACCACAGUAGCAAUGGACCCUGAAAGUUCAUUAUCAUUUGAUACUAGUUAUUUUGUCAACUUGAAAGAACAAAAGGGUAUGUUUCAAUCCGAUGCUGCCCUUUUAACAAACAAGGGAGCAUCCAACAUUGUUGAUGAAAUGCUCAUCUCUGGAAAGUUCUUUACUGAAUUUGCACAAUCCAUGAAGAGGAUGGGUGCCAUUGGAGUCCUUACUGGAAAUUCUGGAGAGAUUAGGAGAAAAUGUGGUGUUGUUAACUCUUAAUCUAUGCUUUGAAUAUUUUCAUUCAUGUUGUUGUGUGAAAUAGUUAAUGUGCAUGGUUUCGAGUUUCGAGUUGUUAUGUAUAAGUUUUUUAUCUUUCUCGUUUUUUUUUUUUUUUUUUUGUGAGUGGGAACGUGUGCAUCUGUAAGUGUGGUUUUUGGAUGUAAGGUGGCAAUCAUCAUAAUAAAAAUCCUAU
RNAcentral lists this long non-coding RNA (7133 nucleotides) under Aquilegia coerulea. RNAcentral's name for it is "long non-coding RNA (ACOE_LNC001234)". The record is from RNAcentral. Lineage: Eukaryota; Viridiplantae; Streptophyta; Magnoliopsida; Ranunculales; Ranunculaceae.